GACGAACGCUGGCGGCGUGCUUAACACAUGCAAGUCGAACGGAAAGGCCCUGCUUUUGUGGGGUGCUCGAGUGGCGAACGGGUGAGUAACACGUGAGUAACCUGCCCUUGACUUUGGGAUAACUUCAGGAAACUGGGGCUAAUACCGGAUAGGAGCUCCUGCUGCAUGGUGGGGGUUGGAAAGUUUCGGCGGUUGGGGAUGGACUCGCGGCUUAUCAGCUUGUUGGUGGGGUAGUGGCUUACCAAGGCUUUGACGGGUAGCCGGCCUGAGAGGGUGACCGGCCACAUUGGGACUGAGAUACGGCCCAGACUCCUACGGGAGGCAGCAGUGGGGAAUAUUGCACAAUGGGCGGAAGCCUGAUGCAGCAACGCCGCGUGCGGGAUGACGGCCUUCGGGUUGUAAACCGCUUUCGCCUGUGACGAAGCGUGAGUGACGGUAAUGGGUAAAGAAGCACCGGCUAACUACGUGCCAGCAGCCGCGGUGAUACGUAGGGUGCGAGCGUUGUCCGGAUUUAUUGGGCGUAAAGGGCUCGUAGGUGGUUGAUCGCGUCGGAAGUGUAAUCUUGGGGCUUAACCCUGAGCGUGCUUUCGAUACGGGUUGACUUGAGGAAGGUAGGGGAGAAUGGAAUUCCUGGUGGAGCGGUGGAAUGCGCAGAUAUCAGGAGGAACACCAGUGGCGAAGGCGGUUCUCUGGGCCUUUCCUGACGCUGAGGAGCGAAAGCGUGGGGAGCGAACAGGCUUAGAUACCCUGGUAGUCCACGCUGUAAACGGUGGGUACUAGGUGUGGGGUCCAUUCCACGGGUUCCGUGCCGUAGCUAACGCUUUAGGUACCCCGCCUGGGGAGUACGGCCGCAAGGCUAAAACUCAAAGGAAUUGACGGGGCCCCGCACAAGCGGCGGAGCAUGCGGAUUAAUUCGAUGCAACGCGUAGAACCUUACCUGGGUUUGACAUGGAUCGGGAGUGCUCAGAGAUGGGUGUGCCUCUUUUGGGGUCGGUUCACAGGUGGUGCAUGCCUGUCGUCAGCUCGUGUCGUGAGAUGUUGGGUUAAGUCCCGCAACGAGCGCAACCCUUGUUCACUGUUGCCAGCACGUUAUGGUGGGGACUCAGUGGAGACCGCCGGGGUCAACUCGGAGGAAGGUGGGGAUGACGUCAAGUCAUCAUGCCCCUCAUGUCCAGGGCUUCACGCAUGCUACAAUGGCUGGUACAGAGAGUGGCGAGCCUGUGAGGGUGAGCGAAUCUCGGAAAGCCGGUCUCAGUUCGGAUUGGGGUCUGCAACUCGACCUCAUGAAGUCGGAGUCGCUAGUAAUCGCAGAUCAGCAACGCUGCGGUGAAUACGUUCCCGGGGCU
RNAcentral lists this ribosomal RNA (1346 nucleotides) under uncultured bacterium. Its description in RNAcentral is "partial 16S ribosomal RNA". It matches the Rfam family "Bacterial small subunit ribosomal RNA", at positions 28 to 1381 of the family's 1533-position model. The record is from RNAcentral.